Molecule: ribosomal RNA, 383 nt
Filed under: Bacillus pumilus
Lineage: Bacteria; Bacillati; Bacillota; Bacilli; Caryophanales; Bacillaceae
Description: bacterial SSU rRNA
Rfam family: Bacterial small subunit ribosomal RNA
Source: RNAcentral
CAAACCGGAGGAAGGUGGGGAUGACGUCAAAUCAUCAUGCCCCUUAUGACCUGGGCUACACACGUGCUACAAUGGACAGAACAAAGGGCUGCGAGACCGCAAGGUUUAGCCAAUCCCAUAAAUCUGUUCUCAGUUCGGAUCGCAGUCUGCAACUCGACUGCGUGAAGCUGGAAUCGCUAGUAAUCGCGGAUCAGCAUGCCGCGGUGAAUACGUUCCCGGGCCUUGUACACACCGCCCGUCACACCACGAGAGUUUGUAACACCCGAAGUCGGUGAGGUAACCUUUAUGGAGCCAGCCGCCGAAGGUGGGACAGAUGAUUGGGGUGAAGUCGUAACAAGGUAGCCGUAUCGGAAGGUGCGGCUGGAUCACCUCCUUUCUAAGGA